UACAGAGGCCUCAAGCGUUAGGCGGAAUCACUGGGCUUAAAGCGUGUGUAGGCGGAUCGUUAAGUGUGUUGUGAAAUCCCACGGCUCACCCGUGGAACUGCUGGGCAUACUGGCGAUCUUGGGCCAACUAGGGGCAGCCGGAACAAGCGGUGGAGCGGUGAAAUGCGUAGAUAUCGCUUGGAACGCCGAAGGUGAAAACAGGCUGCUGGGGUUGUGCCGACGCUGAGACACGAAAGCCAGGGGAGCAAACGGG
Molecule: ribosomal RNA, 253 nt
Filed under: uncultured bacterium
Lineage: Bacteria
Description: partial 16S ribosomal RNA
Rfam family: Bacterial small subunit ribosomal RNA
Source: RNAcentral